CAGUCGCCGCGGUAAAACGUAGGUGGCAAGCGUUGUCCGGAAUUAUUGGGCGUAAAGGGCUCGCAGGCGGUUUCUUAAGUCUGAUGUGAAAGCCCCCGGCUCAACCGGGGAGGGUCAUUGGAAACUGGGAAACUUGAGUGCAGAAGAGGAGAGUGGAAUUCCACGUGUAGCGGUGAAAUGCGUAGAGAUGUGGAGGAACACCAGUGGCGAAGGCGACUCUCUGGUCUGUAACUGACGCUGAGGAGCGAAAGCGUGGGGAGCGAACAGGAUUAGAUACCCGCGUAGUCCCUGUCUCUUAUAC
This 301-nucleotide ribosomal RNA is filed under the name uncultured bacterium. RNAcentral describes it as "partial 16S ribosomal RNA". It matches the Rfam family "Bacterial small subunit ribosomal RNA", at positions 509 to 807 of the family's 1533-position model. The record is from RNAcentral.